GAGCGGCUUCUGGACUGACACUGACACUGAGGUGCGAAGCGUGGGUAGCAAACAGGAUUAGAUACCCUGGUAGUCCACGCCGUAAACGAUGUCGACCAGCCGUUGGGUGCCUAGCGCACUUUGUGGCGAAGUUAACGCGAUAAGUCGACCGCCUGGGGAGUACGGCCGCAAGGUUAAAACUCAAAUGAAUUGACGGGGGCCCGCACAAGCGGUGGAGCAUGUGGUUUAAUUCGAUGCAACGCGAAGAACCUUACCUACUCUUGACAUCUACAGAAGCCGGAAGAGAUUCUGGUGUGCCUUCGGGAACUGUAAGACAGGUGCUGCAUGGCUGUCGUCAGCUCGUGUUGUGAAAUGUUGGGUUAAGUCCCGUAACGAGCGCAACCCUUGUCCUUAUUUGCCAGCGCGUAAUGGCGGGAACUCUAAGGAGA
This 428-nucleotide ribosomal RNA is filed under the name Vreelandella nigrificans. RNAcentral describes it as "bacterial SSU rRNA". It matches the Rfam family "Bacterial small subunit ribosomal RNA", at positions 720 to 1148 of the family's 1533-position model. The record is from RNAcentral. Lineage: Bacteria; Pseudomonadati; Pseudomonadota; Gammaproteobacteria; Oceanospirillales; Halomonadaceae.